AACGCGUUCUAGUUGGUCAAUGGUUGAUUACGUCAGAUUUCCAAAGAACUUGUGUUAUUUUAAGACGGACGAACGCCGCCGAAUGACGAAAUGAUGAUGAACAACUUCGGCCCGGCGCCAGGCGGCAUAGCAGCAAGCUGUGGCUGAUGCGAAGUGAGCAAUGCAAAUUAAAAGAAGAAAACAAUUCUUAAGAACAGUCAAUUUUUAGCCGACGCAAAACCUUGACGACUGCAAUAAUAAUAUUACUACUAUGUGCAAUGUGCAAAUAUAUAGGUACAUUCAUAUAUGUACAAUGUACAUACCACACACUGGCCUUUCUUUCUGCUCUACUGGGCUACGACGACAACGGCAAAAGUGAUGCUGCGGUGUGCUCCAGUUUUUUUUUUUUUUGUAAACCGGCCAACUAGGUUUGUUAUGAAGUACUAUGUAAAACUCUAAAAUUAUAUUAAAAAUAGGUAAAUAUAGUAUAUUCGUACAUAAAUACAAAUCGUAAAUUAUAAGACUUUAUAGGACUGUAGCCUGUAAUUAAACAUUAUAUUAAUCCAAACUAGAAAAA
Molecule: long non-coding RNA, 556 nt
Organism: Aphis gossypii (cotton aphid)
Lineage: Eukaryota; Metazoa; Arthropoda; Insecta; Hemiptera; Aphididae
Exons: 2
Source: RefSeq, a predicted model, not a curated record